Molecule: ribosomal RNA, 338 nt
Filed under: uncultured bacterium
Lineage: Bacteria
Description: bacterial SSU rRNA
Rfam family: Bacterial small subunit ribosomal RNA
Source: RNAcentral
GUACUACUCUCAGAGUUUGAUCCUGGCUCAGGACGAACGCUGGCGGCGUGCCUAACACAUGCAAGUCGAACGGAGUAGAGAGCUUCGGUUUUCUGCUUAGUGGCGAACGGGUGAGUAACGCGUGAAGAACCUGCCUUUCAGUGGGGGACAACAGUUGGAAACGACUGCUAAUACCGCAUAAUGUCAUUUGGGGGCAUCCCCGAAUGACCAAAGAUUUAUUGCUGAAAGAUGGCUUCGCGUCUGAUUAGCUAGUUGGUGAGGUAACGGCCCACCAAGGCGACGAUCAGUAGCCGGUCUGAGAGGAUGAACGGCCACAUUGGGACUGAGAUACGGCCCAG